CAAGAGUGCAUUGUAUGCAGCUCAGAAACUCUUACAGAAAAGACUGGGGAUUUCUCCACUCCAUCUCCAUUACAAAGACAUUUCCAACAAAGUCACUCAGAGAAUGAGCUCAGCAAACCCCAUGCACACCCCAAACAAAUCUGUGAUACUCACCAAGUUACAGAACAAGUAAUAUACAUUAAUGUGUGAAUUCUGAAUGCACGCUUUUCUUCCUCCUGCCUUCGCUAUUGCCGCAUAAGCAAUAUAGCAUAAACAAGAAGAGGCACUGGAAGCAUCUGGAAGACAUUCACAUCUACAUUGUGACAAAGGCACUGACUGCAGUACUUCACAAACCACACAACACGAGGUUAAGGUGCUGUGCAUCGCAGAGGACAGCUGAACGCACUGAUCUCAGAAGACCGUACUCCUUCUGUCUGAGCUAUUCAUCACAAAAUAUCAACAAAUACAGGGAAAGAAUACAAAAUAAAAACACUUAGAAAGACUUUCUGAACAUUAAAAAUAUACGUUAAGAUAAACUUGUUUUAUCUACAUAAAGUACUGAAUUACACACAACAAUAACAGAAGAACAUCCAACGAAAACAACUUUGCAGAACAGAAAUCAAGGAUGUCAGAUCACAUUCGUGCUAAGGCUUUAAAUUCUUUCUUCAUUACCUAAUAAGAAAAAAACCAACAAAAAUAUCAGUAAGCAGAAAUAAAACUGAUCAACAUUUUCUACUUUUCCACAAAAUGAAUAAAGAAUUCAUAAUGACACCCAAUUGUUAGUCACAGCUAAUAAACAGUGUGCUGCCUCUCUCACAAUGCCUUGUUAUCCCCUUUAGCUUCAGAUACAUCCUCAUGCAUCCAACCUGGAGAUUACCACAUAGAGACUCUAUGGAUCUAUACCAUAGAAUCACAGAAUGGCCAGGGUUAGAAGGGACCUCAAGGAUCAUGAAUCUCCAACCCCCCUUGCACAGGCAGGGCCACCAACCUCCCCAUUUAAUACCAGACCAGGCUGCCCAGGGCCCCAUCCAACCUGGCCUUGAACACCUCCAGGGACGGGGCAUCCACAGCCUCUCUGGGCAGCCUGUUCCAGCACCUCACCACUCUUUUGGUAAAGGACUUACCCCUGACAUCCAACCUAAAUCUUUCCCCCCCCUCAACUUGAAACCAUUUCCCCUUGACCUGCUAUUAUCUACCCUUUCAAAGAGUUGACCCCUCUCCACCCCCAUUUGUAGGCUCCCUUUAGGUACAGAAAGGCUGCAAUGAGGUCAUCCUAUAGCUUUCUCUUCUCCAGGCUAAAAUACAUCAACAAGUAAAAGGUAGAAAAUAAAUUAAAAGAAAAUGGCUUGCUUGAAGUAUUACAAGUUAAGUAACAAAGGCUCUCAAGCCCUGAAAUAAAAUAAAUCCCUU
This is a long non-coding RNA of Tympanuchus pallidicinctus (lesser prairie-chicken), 1389 nucleotides long. RefSeq lists it as uncharacterized. The record is from RefSeq and is a predicted model, not a curated record. Lineage: Eukaryota; Metazoa; Chordata; Aves; Galliformes; Phasianidae. The transcript has 2 exons.